RNAcentral lists this ribosomal RNA (496 nucleotides) under uncultured bacterium. RNAcentral describes it as "partial 16S ribosomal RNA". It matches the Rfam family "Bacterial small subunit ribosomal RNA", at positions 28 to 506 of the family's 1533-position model. The record is from RNAcentral.
GAUGAACGCUGGCGGCGUGCCUAAUACAUGCAAGUCGAGCGAACAGACGAGGAGCUUGCUCCUCUGACGUUAGCGGCGGACGGGUGAGUAACACGUGGAUAACCUACCUAUAAGACUGGGAUAACUUCGGGAAACCGGAGCUAAUACCGGAUAAUAUAUUGAACCGCAUGGUUCAAUAGUGAAAGACGGUUUUGCUGUCACUUAUAGAUGGAUCCGCGCCGCAUUAGCUAGUUGGUAAGGUAACGGCUUACCAAGGCAACGAUGCGUAGCCGACCUGAGAGGGUGAUCGGCCACACUGGAACUGAGACACGGUCCAGACUCCUACGGGAGGCAGCAGUAGGGAAUCUUCCGCAAUGGGCGAAAGCCUGACGGAGCAACGCCGCGUGAGUGAUGAAGGUCUGCGGAUCGUAAAACGCUGUUAUUAGGGAAGAACAAAUGUGUAAGUAACUAUGCACGUCUGGACGGUACCGAAACAGAAAGCCACGGCUAACUACGU